GACGAACGCUGGCGGCGUGCCUAACACAUGCAAGUCGAGCGAAGCACUUACUUUAGAUUUCUUCGGAAUGACGAAGUUUGUGACUGAGCGGCGGACGGGUGAGUAACGCGUGGGCAACCUGCCCUGUACAGGGGGAUAACAGUUAGAAAUGACUGCUAAUACCGCAUAAGCCCACAGCUUCGCAUGAAGCAGUGGGAAAAACUCCGGUGGUACAGGAUGGGCCCGCGUCUGAUUAGCUAGUUGGUAAGGUAACGGCUUACCAAGGCGACGAUCAGUAGCCGACCUGAGAGGGUGACCGGCCACAUUGGGACUGAGACACGGCCCAAACUCCUACGGGAGGCAGCAGUGGGGAAUAUUGCACAAUGGGGGAAACCCUGAUGCAGCGACGCCGCGUGAGCGAUGAAGUAUUUCGGUAUGUAAAGCUCUAUCAGCAGGGAAGAAAGUGACGGUACCUGACUAAGAAGCCCCGGCUAACUACGUG
RNAcentral lists this ribosomal RNA (481 nucleotides) under uncultured bacterium. Its description in RNAcentral is "partial 16S ribosomal RNA". It matches the Rfam family "Bacterial small subunit ribosomal RNA", at positions 28 to 507 of the family's 1533-position model. The record is from RNAcentral.